UUAGAAAAUCUCAAAAGGAGACGAGAGAGAGUAGAACCAUGGAUAAUGAGAGUGUUGAACCAGAGGGUAGUGCUUGCUGUUAUUUCAGACCAUGAGUCAUCUCACUGUCCUGAACAGAAGGUUGAACCAGAGUUAUCUACUGUACUCAGUCUUGCAGUUAUUGGUUGUUUGAUUCUCUUCUUAAGACAAUUUGUGUGCUCCUAGGGUGUAAAAAAUCUUAGCUUUUACGUACAAAAAGUUUCAUUUCCUUCUAUAGUUGUUGACGUACACUGGCUAUCCUUCUUUUAUCAGUUGCAGAGAGUCCAUGGAUAUUGAAUGGAAAUGAAGCAAUAGAGAGGACAUGCCCUAUAUGCUACCAAGUGAGGUUGAAUUGGAUCAAGAGAUGCGCAGCCCGGUGCAUGCAUGCACGAUCAUAUUCAAGCUGAGGAAUGACAGGUGCCAAAGAAUUUUUUUGUAAGGUGGCGAUGAUAAGCUUCUGCAGGUUUGGAACACACGAUCUGCGGAGCCGUAG
This is a non-coding RNA of Lolium perenne, 511 nucleotides long. NCBI's taxonomy places the organism in Eukaryota, Viridiplantae, Streptophyta, Magnoliopsida, Poales, Poaceae. The record is from RefSeq and is a predicted model, not a curated record.